AUCGUUUCUCGGCCUUUUGGCUAAGAUCAAGUGUA
This 35-nucleotide small nuclear RNA is filed under the name Cervus elaphus hippelaphus. Lineage: Eukaryota; Metazoa; Chordata; Mammalia; Artiodactyla; Cervidae. The record is from RNAcentral.